RNAcentral lists this transfer RNA (77 nucleotides) under Deltaproteobacteria bacterium RIFCSPHIGHO2_02_FULL_44_16. RNAcentral describes it as "tRNA-Met". It matches the Rfam family "tRNA". Rfam says of the family: Transfer RNA (tRNA) molecules are approximately 80 nucleotides in length. Their secondary structure includes four short double-helical elements and three loops (D, anti-codon, and T loops). Lineage: Bacteria; Deltaproteobacteria. RNAcentral also lists the same sequence under 1 other name. The record is from RNAcentral.
GGCGGGGUAGCUCAGAUGGUGAGAGCGACGGAUUCAUAACCCGUAGGUCGGCGGUUCGAUCCCGCCCCCCGCUACAA